UGGGGAAUCUUGGACAAUGGGCGAAAGCCCGAUCCAGCAAUAUCGCGUGAGUGAUGAAGGUCUUCGGAUCGUAAAACUCUGUUAUUAGGGAAGAACAUAUGUGUAAGUAACUGUGCACAUCUUGACGGUACCUAAUCAGAAAGCCACGGCUAACUACGUGCCAGCAGCCGCGGUAAUACGUAGGUGGCAAGCGUUAUCCGGAAUUAUUGGGCGUAAAGCGCGCGUAGGCGGUUUUUUAAGUCUGAUGUGAAAGCCCACGGCUCAACCGUGGAGGGUCAUUGGAAACUGGAAAACUUGAGUGCAGAAGAGGAAAGUGGAAUUCCAUGUGUAGCGGUGAAAUGCGCAGAGAUAUGGAGGAACACCAGUGGCGAAGGCGACUUUCUGGUCUGUAACUGACGCUGAUGUGCGAAAGCGUGGGGAUCAAACA
This 427-nucleotide ribosomal RNA is filed under the name uncultured bacterium. Its description in RNAcentral is "partial 16S ribosomal RNA". It matches the Rfam family "Bacterial small subunit ribosomal RNA", at positions 355 to 774 of the family's 1533-position model. The record is from RNAcentral.